Molecule: long non-coding RNA, 355 nt
Filed under: Nicotiana benthamiana
Lineage: Eukaryota; Viridiplantae; Streptophyta; Magnoliopsida; Solanales; Solanaceae
Description: long non-coding RNA (NBEN_LNC021332)
Source: RNAcentral
CUACAUUGUGAUCAGUGUAGUUGUGUACCUGAUAAUUUGAACAAAGGAAAUAAGUAGAGGAAAAUCAGUAGAAGCAGCAGUAGCAUAAGCAGCAACACAGCAACACAGUAACAAACAAUGGCCGAAAUCCCAGGAGUAGAUUGAAACAAAGAGAAGAGCCCAGUAACUCAAUCAAACAGUGCUUGAAAACCAAACACAAAUCCCAGGAAAUACAAAAUUCAGACCAAACAGUAUCACCAAGCUAUUACAGUCCAAGCAGAAAAGAGACAUGUGCAAAAACACUAUAGCCGUCUGAUUAUGAACCCUCAAAAAAGAAAACAAGCUGAAGCUUUACUGAUUUUUAACCACAAAAUAA